Gallus gallus (chicken) is the source of this 429-nucleotide long non-coding RNA. Lineage: Eukaryota; Metazoa; Chordata; Aves; Galliformes; Phasianidae. The record is from Ensembl.
GCUGGGAGAGAGUACUGAAAAAGCAUUGCUCUGUUGCUCUGCUUUUAUGUUCUUUCAUUGGUGUUUCUGGACGUAGGAUCAUAGAAUCACAGACUCAUAGACACGUUAAGGUUGGAAAAGGCCACUGAGAUCAUCUGGUCCAACUGCUGACCCAUCACCACCAUGCCCAUGUGAGGUAGGACUUCAGACUUUGGAUGCUCGGCUGUUUGUUGAGAUGCCUCACUGACGAUCCAGGCAGAUACAGAGGGUGACGUGCUGUGGGUGCCCAUGGAGCUGGAUCAUGUCCCUUGCUCCUCCCCAAAAGCCCUGAGACAUAUGGGGUGAGUCACACUGGAUGGCAGCUGCCAUAGGGUCGGGCGCUGUGGAAGGGGACAUUGCCAUGGAGACUCUCAAAUGCAUUUCUCCUUCCAAGCCAUCUUUGUCCUUGUA